Molecule: long non-coding RNA, 312 nt
Organism: Drosophila ficusphila
Lineage: Eukaryota; Metazoa; Arthropoda; Insecta; Diptera; Drosophilidae
Exons: 2
Source: RefSeq, a predicted model, not a curated record
AGAGUAUCUAAAAGUGCCAAAUGAAAUACUCGUGUGAAAAGCUUCUUAUUGCUUCAAGCUAGGAGUUAAUGUAUAAAUACGAGACAGAUUGAAUAUUGGCACAAUAAUGAAGUCGACGCUGUUGCUAUUAAUAGUCAUUCUCAGCCUGGUGGGAUUGGCCCCAGCUAAGCCACCAAAAAAGAAGAAUUUCGAGAUUUGGGUACGACCAGGUCCAGGGGAACCACCAAUGUGUCAAUAUGGCUGCCAAUAUGGCUGAUAAAAGGAGUUUUAUAAAAAUAAUAUAUUUGCCAAGAAAUAAACUUGUGAAACUUU